RNAcentral lists this ribosomal RNA (342 nucleotides) under Triticum aestivum (bread wheat). RNAcentral describes it as "partial small subunit ribosomal RNA". The record is from RNAcentral. Lineage: Eukaryota; Viridiplantae; Streptophyta; Magnoliopsida; Poales; Poaceae.
AUGUGUCACGCUCGCAGCCCACCACGGGGGAGUGCGACCCCAGCAGACCAACACCAGCAUGUCCACCACCACUGUGUCCAAGCUCAAACUCACGCGCUCGGUGUAGAUGAGGGUCCAACAACUGAUGACCAGGCAGGGGAGAUAGGUGUUUGCGCAUGUCGUGUGAACAGCAUGAGGCCCCCAGAGUAUGCGAGAAUAGUUAAUAAUGAGAUCAUCAUUUUAGAAAAUGAUGCGGAACUGGGUAGUGAUAUUGAUCCGAAAGAAGCUCAAAAGGCACUUGAAAUAGCUAUAUACCCGGGACAUUGUCAUUUGGGAGCAUCAACAACACCACUAGUUCAGUAA